AGCUUUUCGAAUCCGUGCUGAGAUUUCGUCAGACAUUGACCAACUAGGGCUGAUCAGACUUCCAAGAUAAGUGAAGUU
Schistosoma mattheei is the source of this 78-nucleotide non-coding RNA. The record is from Rfam. Lineage: Eukaryota; Metazoa; Platyhelminthes; Trematoda; Strigeidida; Schistosomatidae.